RNAcentral lists this ribosomal RNA (253 nucleotides) under uncultured bacterium. RNAcentral describes it as "partial 16S ribosomal RNA". It matches the Rfam family "Bacterial small subunit ribosomal RNA", at positions 524 to 776 of the family's 1533-position model. The record is from RNAcentral.
UACAGAGGGUGCAAGCGUUAAUCGGAAUUACUGGGCGUAAAGCGUGCGUAGACGGUCAUGUAAGUCUGGUGUGAAAGCCCCGGGCUCAACCUGGGAAUUGCAUUCGAGACUGCAUGGCUAGGGUGCGGAAGAGGGAAGCGGAAUUUCCGGUGUAGCGGUGAAAUGCGUAGAUAUCGGAAGGGACACCAGUGGCGAAAGCGGCUUCCUGGGACAGCACCGACGUUCAAGCACGAAAGCGUGGGGAGCAAACAGG